RNAcentral lists this ribosomal RNA (872 nucleotides) under uncultured bacterium. RNAcentral's name for it is "bacterial SSU rRNA". It matches the Rfam family "Bacterial small subunit ribosomal RNA", at positions 57 to 918 of the family's 1533-position model. The record is from RNAcentral.
GCAAGUCGAGCGGUAGCACAGAGAAGCUUGCUUCUUGGGUGACGAGCGGCGGACGGGUGAGUAACGCGUGGGAAUCUACCUGGUAGUGGGGGACAACAGUCGGAAACGACUGCUAAUACCGCAUACGCCCUUUGGGGGAAAGUGGGGGAUCUUCGGACCUCACGCUAUCAGAUGAGCCCGCGUCGGAUUAGCUUGUUGGUGAGGUAAAGGCUCACCAAGGCGAUGAUCCGUAGCUGGUCUGAGAGGAUGACCAGCCACACUGGGACUGAGACACGGCCCAGACUCCUACGGGAGGCAGCAGUGGGGAAUAUUGGACAAUGGGGGCAACCCUGAUCCAGCCAUGCCGCGUGUGUGAAGAAGGCCUUCGGGUUGUAAAGCACUUUCAGCUGUGAGGAAAGGCAAGUGGUUAAUACCCGCUUGCUGUGACGUUAACAGCAGAAGAAGGACCGGCUAACUCCGUGCCAGCAGCCGCGGUAAUACGGAGGGUCCGAGCGUUAAUCGGAAUUACUGGGCGUAAAGCGCGCGUAGGUGGUUCAGUCAGUCAGAUGUGAAAGCCCCGGGCUCAACCUGGGAACUGCACCUGAUACUGCUGAGCUAGAGUACGGUAGAGGGUGGUGGAAUUUCCGGUGUAGCGGUGAAAUGCGUAGAGAUCGGAAGGAACACCAGUGGCGAAAGCGACUACCUGGACCGAUACUGACACUGAGGUGCGAAAGCGUGGGUAGCAAACAGGAUUAGAUACCCUGGUAGUCCACGCCGUAAACGAUGUCAACUAGCCGUUGGGGGACUUGAUCCUUUAGUGGCGAAGCUAACGCGAUAAGUUGACCGCCUGGGGAGUACGGCCGCAAGGUUACAACUCAAAGGAAUUGACGGAA